CCUUGAAAUACCACCCUUUAAUGUUUGAUGUUCUAACGUGGACCCGUGAUCCGGGUUGCGGACAGUGUCUGGUGGGUAGUUUGACUGGGGCGGUCUCCUCCUAAAGAGUAACGGAGGAGCACGAAGGUUGGCUAAUCCUGGUCGGACAUCAGGAGGUUAGUGCAAUGGCAUAAGCCAGCUUGACUGCGAGCGUGACGGCGCGAGCAGGUGCGAAAGCAGGUCAUAGUGAUCCGGUGGUUCUGAAUGGAAGGGCCAUCGCUCAACGGAUAAAAGGUACUCCGGGGAUAACAGGCUGAUACCGCCCAAGAGUUCAUAUCGACGGCGGUGUUUGGCACCUCGAUGUCGGCUCAUCACAUCCUGGGGCUGAAGUAGGUCCCAAGGGUAUGGCUGUUCGCCAUUUAAAGUGGUACGCGAGCUGGGUUUAGAACGUCGUGAGACAGUUCGGUCCCUAUCUGCCGUGGGCGCUGGAGAACUGAGGGGGGCUGCUCCUAGUACGAGAGGACCGGAGUGGACGCAUCACUGGUGUUCGGGUUGUCAUGCCAAUGGCACUGCCCGGUAGCUAAAUGCGGAAGAGAUAAGUGCUGAAAGCAUCUAAGCACGAAACUUGCCCCGAGAUGAGUUCUCCCUGAGACUUAAAGUCUCCUGAAGGAACGUUGAAGACGACGACGUUGA
RNAcentral lists this ribosomal RNA (672 nucleotides) under Salmonella enterica subsp. enterica serovar Give. Its description in RNAcentral is "partial 23S ribosomal RNA". It matches the Rfam family "Bacterial large subunit ribosomal RNA", at positions 2190 to 2856 of the family's 2925-position model. The record is from RNAcentral. Lineage: Bacteria; Pseudomonadati; Pseudomonadota; Gammaproteobacteria; Enterobacterales; Enterobacteriaceae.